Long non-coding RNA from Heterocephalus glaber (naked mole-rat), 1032 nucleotides. Lineage: Eukaryota; Metazoa; Chordata; Mammalia; Rodentia; Bathyergidae. The record is from Ensembl.
CUCAUCAUGUAAUAAAAUGAAAAUCAUUAUUUAAUGAUACAAUUUAUCCAUAUAUAAUUUCAAUAUGAUUGUGUCUAUGUCUAUAAAACAAAACUAAAAAAAUGUAAUAAUAUAUUUGUUGAAACUGUGAAUGUACUAAUUUUUUCUGUAUUCUGUCUAGAAAUAGUAUAUGCAGUUGUACAGCUGAUCUGGGAGCUAUGUGUUUAAAGUACAAUCCAACAGCUGCUUAAAUGUCAUUCCCCCCAUUUUGCUUCGUGAGACUCCUGAGUCUUCAUGUAUGUUAUUUGCAUCAUAGGCUGGCUUUUGCACUUCAUUCAUGGAAACAAUUUAAGAGUCUCAUAUGGAAACCAAAGCAAUCUAGACUUAGCCCACUGAGUGAGUGUGUGUCCUGCAAAAAGCCAUACUGAAGUGAAGUCUGCCAUAGUGCAAGGUUCGACGUCAUCAAAGCUGCCACUACCUCUGCUUUUCCUUUUUCUCUAGAAAAUGCCAAGCAAAAUUCCUUGGCAUUAAGUGGAAAAUCAGAAGUGAUUGUUACAAUAUGUUGCUGGAGUUUUUUUUAAUAGAAUACACCUUCUAAUUCACCACUUUGCAGGUUUUUGUUGUUUUCUGAGUAACCAUUUUUUACAUUAUUAUUCUUUUAUUCAGAAAAACUGGCUGAUGAGUAAAGUUCGGAAGGAAUAUAUAGUCAUCAGAUUUUUAAAAAUCACAGAGUAUCAGUUUAUUUCUUGUAAGUUACUUCAGGGUGGUUACCCAAAGCCAUGAAAAUAUAUGUGAUUAUUGAAAAUACCCAGCUCAGUGCCUAACUCCAUAAAUAUUUACUUCCCUUGAUUACCUUUCCUCUAUUUUUUUCUUACUUGAAGAAGAGCAAAUUUACAUGUGUGUUGCUGAAACAAUUUUUCUUGAAGAGUGUUUGCUGCUAACAGAUCUAUAAUCAGGAAUACAAUUUAAUUUCCCUAUAUCCCUUAAAAAUAAAUCUUUUCUUUAUUUCACUUUAGCCAUCAAAUACACUAUGGUAUGGGAAACAUCAGCCAU